CAAAGUCUCAUUUGACUCCUGAAGUGAUGUCUGGCUACGUGGCUCCUAUCGGUUCACUCUCUCGCCGGCUUCGCUGACAGAAAGAUCCGAGGCGUAGGCGGGAGCCCCGAGGAGAGGAGAGGGCGAUGGAGGGGGCGAGGAUGAGUGUGAAGGAUGGUAGUCAUUCGGACUUCCUUGUGCAGUCACGUUGGCCGAAAUGACCAGUGCAUUGUUACGAAUCACCACUUGCUCUAAACCACAGGGGAAGAACAGCCGAUAAUCGCCAUCUUUAUAUUCGUCUUUUGGAAUACCGAAUUUCGUGCAUUUUGGAGAAAGACUUCACCACUUGGCAUACUGCUCACUGUACAUUUCGAGAAAAGCAUAAAAAAAAACAUUGUAUUUAGAAAUCAUCAUUGUUAUCUUAUCAUUGCCAUAAUAAUUUCCAUUUUUUUGCCUUAACGACCAAUAACAUUGUUACGGAACACGACCUGUAUCGCGUCGUCGAUUUUACUCACUAAUCUUUUUAUUCGUGAACGCCAAAUUUGAUUCACUAUAAAGAAACGACUUCUACUGGCAAAUACUGGUCAUCUUAUGUUUCGUGAAAUGGAUGAAAAAAAUCGUUAUUGUUCGAAAUCAUCACUAUUAUGAUGAAUAUUAUCAUUUAUUCUUAGUGUAUCAAUAGCGUUUCCAUUCACGUUAACUGUCUUCUUUUAUUUUUUAUGCAUCAUUACUAACAAGCUUAUUUUUCAAAAGAUACUAUUAUGAAAAAAAUCGCAUUUAUUGAAAUAAACAUAUCGUUGCAAGUUCUAUUGAAUUAAUGACUUUAUUACCACUAUGAAAAUCUGUCUUUGUAAUAAUCAUUUUGUUGCAAAGAAAACUUGAAUAACAACAACCUCUUCAUAUAGGAAGUCUCUUAAUUAAGUUUCACCUUUUUUGUAACAAUUAAUUUCAUCGUUUAAGUAACAUUAUUUUCACCGUCAUUAUUGCUUUU
Molecule: non-coding RNA, 970 nt
Organism: Penaeus vannamei (Pacific white shrimp)
Lineage: Eukaryota; Metazoa; Arthropoda; Malacostraca; Decapoda; Penaeidae
Source: RefSeq, a predicted model, not a curated record